RNAcentral lists this ribosomal RNA (424 nucleotides) under Verrucomicrobiota bacterium. RNAcentral's name for it is "Verrucomicrobia bacterium partial 16S ribosomal RNA". It matches the Rfam family "Bacterial small subunit ribosomal RNA", at positions 355 to 776 of the family's 1533-position model. The record is from RNAcentral. Lineage: Bacteria; Pseudomonadati; Verrucomicrobiota.
UGAGGAAUAUUGGUCAAUGGACGCAAGUCUGAACCAGCCAAGUAGCGUGCAGGAUGACGGCCCUAUGGGUUGUAAACUGCUUUUAUAUGGGGAUAAAGUGGGGAACGUGUUCCUUUUUGCAGGUACCAUAUGAAUAAGGAACGGCUAAUUCCGUGCCAGCAGCCGCGGUAAUACGGAAGGUUCGGGCGUUAUCCGGAUUUAAUGGGUUUAAAGGGAGCGUAGGCCGUUUGGUAAGCGUGUUGUGAAAUGUAGGAGCUCAACUUCUAGAUUGCAGCGCGAACUGUCAGACUUGAGUGCGCACAACGUAGGCGGAAUUCAUGGUGUAGCGGUGAAAUGCUUAGAUAUCAUGAAGAACUCCGAUUGCGAAGGCAGCUUACGGGAGCGCAACUGACGCUGAAGCUCGAAGGUGCGGGUAUCGAACAGG